AGCAGCGUAGCUGAACAUCUUACGGAUGGCCCAGGGCUCCAAAGGCUCGUUUCCUAAGUGAGAGAGAGCCUGGCUGAAGCUGUAUUACCAUUCAUUCUCCAGCCUCCGAAGUCUCAAAGCAUCACUUCCACCAUACUCUAACUGUCAAGACAAACACAAAGGCCCAGAAACUGCCAGACUGUCUUCUGAAGUGGCUAUAAUAUUUACACUCCCAUCAGCAGUGUAGAAGGGGUCUCACUAUGUUGUCUGGAGUGCUGUGGUGGAGUGGAGUGGCUAUUCACAGAGCCUGUUCUGCUGGGACACAGAAUCACUUGCUCCAUCUCAUACAUUGAUGAUGAUUAAUUUGUAUGUGUACCUUCCAAAAAAGAUGGUUGUGUUUGAAUGGAGGCCUUCUGGACAGGAAAAUAAUCACAUCCUUCCUGAGAUAAUGAGCACACAAUUGCCUGGAUACCUGAAGGAAUGGAGACAGCGGCAGAAAACACUGCAGAGAGGUGGAAACAUCCGUUAAUAUUUUAAAAUCCCAUUACUGCUACCAACAAUAAUAAUGGAUGCAUAGAAAUAGAUCUGGAUUAGCUGAGCUUGAAACAGUCCAUCUCACACACACACAAAAGAAUUUCAGAUACAGUGAACCCACAUGUUGAAGCUUUCUAGUAUAAUAAAAAUUUCAACUGUUCUGUUGAAUCAUCUGCCUGAUUGGAGGCUACAGAAAAGAUGUCAUCUUAGGAGUGCUUGCUCUGAGUGAGGCUCAUCUUCAAAUCUGAAUGACCACAAGGAGAUUUGAUUAUACAUGUGAACACCUCAGAAGGCACAGCCCACCCAGAAGGCAGACAGAAGAAGCUGCCAGGAAGACUGUGAAAUCUUCAUGCCCAAGGAUCCCUAAAAUUAGGAGCAACAACCACUUGGCUCAGACGGUUUAUGGAGGCAAAGGUUUGGAUGGGAUUAGAGAUUUCUAAAUGUGAGUUCGUGUCCUCUGCCAGACCACCUUACUUCCACCAUUCCUCAGCAAAUCAAGAAAAACAGGAGAAAAGACAUGCCUUUCCAUAAGUUAAAUCUAUUCUGUUUUAAUUCUAUAUUAUAUCUGCUGUACAACUUCUUUUGUUUGUAACACCAUAUUGUUGCUAGUAACUGGAAAUUAAUUUUCACAUGCCUCAGCUUAGAAAAAUAAAAAGCAGCCCUGCAUCAAUCCCAA
Molecule: long non-coding RNA, 1189 nt
Filed under: Homo sapiens (human)
Lineage: Eukaryota; Metazoa; Chordata; Mammalia; Primates; Hominidae
Description: non-protein coding LINC00635:23
Source: RNAcentral